AUUUAGGGUGUUUCUUCUGCUUGAUUAUGGAGCUGACAGUCGUCUUUCCUUUACUAUCAUUGAACCAGGAUGUAAAAGUAUUUAGAAUAAUUUCUUCUCUGUGAGGAAGACUUUACUCAAAGAUUAAUGAUUCUAAAGUGCUUUGAAAUCCAAGAUGAAAGGCUGCAGAGACACAGCAUUUGUAGAACUGAGCUCGUGGAAUCCAAACUGUUUUACAGCAGCAGAUUCACAGCUAAAUGUGUCAUCUCUGCUUGCUUGUGUAUUGAUUUCAGUCCUGAUAAACAAAUAAAAUCCCCCCUCUCUCAUGACAGGAGGUUUGGUGCAAAAUUCAAGGUUUUGGACAAACCUUCACAUGAAAAUAGCUUAUUAAAAGCUCCAAUCCUAAUGUCUUGAAAAGCUGCAUGAGUCAGAAAAUACAGGAGCAGAGGCUAAAAUCAAAUAUGUCAUAAUGUAAUAAAAUAAAUGAUCUUGC
Molecule: non-coding RNA, 472 nt
Organism: Taeniopygia guttata (zebra finch)
Lineage: Eukaryota; Metazoa; Chordata; Aves; Passeriformes; Estrildidae
Source: RefSeq, a predicted model, not a curated record